GACGAACGCUGGCGGCGCGCCUAACACAUGCAAGUCGAACGAGCGAGAGAGAGCUUGCUUUCUCGAGCGAGUGGCGAACGGGUGAGUAACGCGUGAGGAACCUGCCUCAAAGAGGGGGACAACAGUUGGAAACGACUGCUAAUACCGCAUAAGCCCACGACCCGGCAUCGGGUCGAGGGAAAAGGAGCAAUCCGCUUUGAGAUGGCCUCGCGUCCGAUUAGCUAGUUGGUGAGGUAACGGCCCACCAAGGCGACGAUCGGUAGCCGGACUGAGAGGUUGAACGGCCACAUUGGGACUGAGACACGGCCCAGACUCCUACGGGAGGCAGCAGUGGGGAAUAUUGCACAAUGGGGGAAACCCUGAUGCAGCGACGCCGCGUGGAGGAAGAAGGUCUUCGGAUUGUAAACUCCUGUUGUUGAGGAAGAUAAUGACGGUACUCAACAAGGAAGUGACGGCUAACUACGUG
Molecule: ribosomal RNA, 466 nt
Filed under: uncultured bacterium
Lineage: Bacteria
Description: partial 16S ribosomal RNA
Rfam family: Bacterial small subunit ribosomal RNA
Source: RNAcentral